RNAcentral lists this ribosomal RNA (253 nucleotides) under Rhodospirillales bacterium. RNAcentral's name for it is "partial 16S ribosomal RNA". It matches the Rfam family "Bacterial small subunit ribosomal RNA", at positions 524 to 776 of the family's 1533-position model. RNAcentral also lists the same sequence under 1 other name. Lineage: Bacteria; Pseudomonadati; Pseudomonadota; Alphaproteobacteria; Rhodospirillales. The record is from RNAcentral.
UACGAAGGGGGCUAGCGUUGCUCGGAAUUACUGGGCGUAAAGCGCACGUAGGCGGCCAUGAUAGUCAGAUGUGAAAGGCCUGGGCUUAACCCGGGAACUGCAUUUGAUACUGCAUGGCUAGAGUCCAAGAGAGGGUAGUGGAAUUCCCAGUGUAGAGGUGAAAUUCGUAGAUAUUGGGAAGAACACCAGUGGCGAAGGCGGCUACCUGGCUUGGAACUGACGCUCAGGUGCGAAAGCGUGGGGAGCGAACAGG